AACGAACGCUGGCGGCAGGCCUAACACAUGCAAGUCGAGCGAACCCUUCGGGGUUAGCGGCGGACGGGUUAGUAACGCGUGGGAAUAUACCCUUUGGUACGGAAUAGCCUCGGGAAACUGAGAGUAAUACCGUAUGUGCCCUUCGGGGGAAAGAUUUAUCGCCAAAGGAUUAGCCCGCGUUGGAUUAGAUAGUUGGUGGGGUAAUGGCCUACCAAGUCUACGAUCCAUAGCUGGUUUGAGAGGAUGAUCAGCAACACUGGGACUGAGACACGGCCCAGACUCCUACGGGAGGCAGCAGUGGGGAAUCUUAGACAAUGGGCGCAAGCCUGAUCUAGCCAUGCCGCGUGGACGAUGAAGGCCUUAGGGUUGUAAAGUCCUUUCAGAUGGGAAGAAAGCGGAUGGGUUAAUACCCUGUCCGGAUGACGGUACCACCAGAAGAAGCACCGGCUAACUACGUG
RNAcentral lists this ribosomal RNA (458 nucleotides) under uncultured bacterium. RNAcentral describes it as "bacterial SSU rRNA". It matches the Rfam family "Bacterial small subunit ribosomal RNA", at positions 29 to 507 of the family's 1533-position model. The record is from RNAcentral.